GCUGGUGUGGCGAAAUUGGUAAACGCGGUAGCUUCGCACGCUACUGGGCGAAAGCCCUUGCGGGUUCGACUCCCGUCACCAGCACCG
Molecule: transfer RNA, 87 nt
Filed under: Gemmatimonadota bacterium
Lineage: Bacteria; Pseudomonadati; Gemmatimonadota
Description: Gemmatimonadetes bacterium tRNA-Ala
Rfam family: tRNA
About the family: Transfer RNA (tRNA) molecules are approximately 80 nucleotides in length. Their secondary structure includes four short double-helical elements and three loops (D, anti-codon, and T loops).
Source: RNAcentral